UGUGGCGUCUCUCUGAACCCCCUCGACCGUCCGAGCUUCUAGACUUCUCCGACAAUGAGCUUCUCCAUUCAUCUACCGAGCCACUCUAGAAGCUCUCUAGGCUUCACUAUCAGCCGACCUUCUACAGUGAUCAACUAUUCUCCGAAUCCCUUCCAGACUUCUUUCGGUCGUGGACAACCCUACUUCGAACUUCUUCCAAACUUCGUCAAUAUCCGAGCUUC
RNAcentral lists this long non-coding RNA (221 nucleotides) under Elaeis guineensis (African oil palm). RNAcentral's name for it is "long non-coding RNA (EGUI_LNC068345)". Lineage: Eukaryota; Viridiplantae; Streptophyta; Magnoliopsida; Arecales; Arecaceae. The record is from RNAcentral.